GUUGCCAGCGGUCCGGCCGGGAACUCAAAGGAGACUGCCAGUGAUAAACUGGAGGAAGGUGGGGAUGACGUCAAGUCAUCAUGGCCCUUACGACCAGGGCUACACACGUGCUACAAUGGCGCAUACAAAGAGAAGCGACCUCGCGAGAGCAAGCGGACCUCAUAAAGUGCGUCGUAGUCCGGAUUGGAGUCUGCAACUCGACUCCAUGAAGUCGGAAUCGCUAGUAAUCGUGGAUCAGAAUGCCACGGUGAAUACGUUCCCGGGCCUUGUACACACCGCCCGUCACACCAUGGGAGUGGGUUGCAAAAGAAGUAGGUAGCUUAACCUUCGGGAGGGCGCUUACCACUUUGUGAUUCAUGACUGGGGUGAAGUCGUAACAAGGUAACCGUAGGGGAACCUGCGGUUGGAUCACCUCCUUA
RNAcentral lists this ribosomal RNA (419 nucleotides) under Escherichia coli. RNAcentral describes it as "bacterial SSU rRNA". It matches the Rfam family "Bacterial small subunit ribosomal RNA", at positions 1114 to 1533 of the family's 1533-position model. RNAcentral also lists the same sequence under 7 other names. The record is from RNAcentral. Lineage: Bacteria; Pseudomonadati; Pseudomonadota; Gammaproteobacteria; Enterobacterales; Enterobacteriaceae.